This is a long non-coding RNA of Pan troglodytes (chimpanzee), 565 nucleotides long. RefSeq lists it as uncharacterized. The record is from RefSeq and is a predicted model, not a curated record. The transcript is spliced from 3 exons. NCBI's taxonomy places the organism in Eukaryota, Metazoa, Chordata, Mammalia, Primates, Hominidae.
CUGGGAAAACAGCCUGCAGAAAAACGCUUUGCAGCCGGGCCGACUACAACGCAGUGGCCGGAAGUCUCCUCUCACGUACUUCCGGCCUGCGUCCGGAGGGGAUGGGAGACCGUCGCCGCUGGCUCCGCCCACCGCGUGGUCCAAGGACCACCACCCCCCACCGCCGCGCGAGCGUACUAUUGCGGCCGCCCUCUGCUGUGCCUGAAGACAGAAGCGACUCUACAAGCCUCACAGCAUGCACUGUUACUAAAAAGACGAUGCGUCCUCCUGGAGCUGAGAUCUGUGUGAUCGUGGGAAAGCGACGAAAAACGAACAAAGGAACAGUAAAUGGAGUAACUUGGCUAGAAUAUGGCAGUAACUACAAGGCAUGUUCUGCUCUGGCACGAAGACAACCCACCUGAGGCACCAGACACAUGAGUGAAGCCAUCUUGGACAUCCCAGUCACAGCCAAACUCACUCCUGAGUGCAUCUGCAUGAUGAACCCAGCAAUCCCCACCAUGGAGCAAAGGAUCCAUCCAGUCAACCCAAAGAAUCGUGAAAAAUAAUAAAUUGUUGUUUUAAAGUU